CAGAGUUUGGGAAGCUCUGCUACAAGGAUCAUAGUACAGAGUGGACAAAAACAGCAAACUAGCAGCAGUACUUAUAUUCAGGGUUCCCAAGGCAGCCAGUCCUAUGGUCAGGGCUUCAGACCUCAAGGUGGCAGUUCCUAUGGCCAGG
This is a non-coding RNA of Lonchura striata (white-rumped munia), 148 nucleotides long. NCBI's taxonomy places the organism in Eukaryota, Metazoa, Chordata, Aves, Passeriformes, Estrildidae. The record is from RefSeq and is a predicted model, not a curated record.